UUUAUAGAAUGGUUUGAAAAUUUGAAGAAUCAAGAAAAAGGUUGUUCAAAAAGCAUUCUUUCGAAAAAAAUCAAUGAAUUUAACGCGGAAAACGACAUGUUAAGUAGUUCUUUGAAAAACAAAGAAACUGAGUUUCUCAAGGAAUUUAGUGACUUCAUAAGAACAAGCUGGAAUCAGACAAUAGCUUUUCAGCUUCGUAACGAAGAUUUGACGAAUGAAUUAUCGAAAUUAGAUGCGUUGAAUACGGAACUUAAGAAGCAAAUAAAUAAUUUUGAAAACCACAAGUCAUAUACUAGUAAAGUAAAGGUU
Molecule: unclassified non-coding RNA, 309 nt
Filed under: Melitaea cinxia (Glanville fritillary)
Lineage: Eukaryota; Metazoa; Arthropoda; Insecta; Lepidoptera; Nymphalidae
Description: misc RNA ENSMCXG00005005318.1
Source: RNAcentral